CCUACGGGAGGCUGCAGUGGGGAAUAUUGCACAAUGGGCGCAAGCCUGAUGCAGCCAUGCCGCGUGUGUGAAGAAGGCCUUCGGGUUGUAAAGCACUUUCAGCGGGGAGGAAGGCGUUAAGGUUAAUAACCUUGGCGAUUGACGUUACCCGCAGAAGAAGCACCGGCUAACUCCGUGCCAGCAGCCGCGGUAAUACGGAGGGUGCAAGCGUUAAUCGGAAUUACUGGGCGUAAAGCGCACGCAGGCGGUCUGUCAAGUCGGAUGUGAAAUCCCCGGGCUCAACCUGGGAACUGCAUUCGAAACUGGCAGGCUAGAGUCUUGUAGAGGGGGGUAGAAUUCCAGGUGUAGCGGUGAAAUGCGUAGAGAUCUGGAGGAAUACCGGUGGCGAAGGCGGCCCCCUGGACAAAGACUGACGCGCAGGUGCGAAAGCGUGGGGAGCAAACAGGAUUAGAUACCCGUGUAGUC
This 465-nucleotide ribosomal RNA is filed under the name uncultured Klebsiella sp. Its description in RNAcentral is "bacterial SSU rRNA". It matches the Rfam family "Bacterial small subunit ribosomal RNA", at positions 338 to 795 of the family's 1533-position model. Lineage: Bacteria; Pseudomonadati; Pseudomonadota; Gammaproteobacteria; Enterobacterales; Enterobacteriaceae. The record is from RNAcentral.